CAGUAGCCGCGGUAAUACGUAGGUCCCGAGCGUUGUCCGGAUUUAUUGGGCGUAAAGCGAGCGCAGGCGGUUAGAUAAGUCUGAAGUUAAAGGCUGUGGCUUAACCAUAGUACGCUUUGGAAACUGUUUAACUUGAGUGCAAGAGGGGAGGGUGGAAUUCCAUGUGUAGCGGUGAAAUGCGUAGAUAUAUGGAGGAACACCGGUGGCGAAAGCGGCUCUCUGGCUUGAAACUGACGCUGAGGCUCGAAAGCGUGGGGAGCAAACAGGAUUAGAUACCCCCGUAGUCCCUGUCUCUUAUACA
This 301-nucleotide ribosomal RNA is filed under the name uncultured bacterium. RNAcentral describes it as "partial 16S ribosomal RNA". It matches the Rfam family "Bacterial small subunit ribosomal RNA", at positions 509 to 808 of the family's 1533-position model. The record is from RNAcentral.